GACGAACCACACAAACGUUAUUCGGAAUUACUGGGCUUAAAGGGUGCGUAGGCGGCGCGGAAAGUAGGGUGUGAAAUCCCUCGGCUCAACCGAGGAAUUGCGCCCUAAACUACCGUGCUCGAGGGAGAUAGAGGUGAGCGGAACUUAGGGUGGAGCGGUGAAAUGCGUUGAUAUCCUAAGGAACACCGGUGGCGAAAGCGGCUCACUGGAUCUCUUCUGACGUUGAGGCACGAAAGCUAGGGUAGCGAACGGG
This 253-nucleotide ribosomal RNA is filed under the name uncultured bacterium. RNAcentral's name for it is "partial 16S ribosomal RNA". It matches the Rfam family "Bacterial small subunit ribosomal RNA", at positions 524 to 776 of the family's 1533-position model. The record is from RNAcentral.